GGGGAUUUGGCUCAGUGGUAGAGCGCUUGCCUAGCAGGUGCAAGGUCCUGGGUUCGGUCCCCAGCUCCA
RNAcentral lists this transfer RNA (69 nucleotides) under Rattus norvegicus (Norway rat). It matches the Rfam family "tRNA". Rfam says of the family: Transfer RNA (tRNA) molecules are approximately 80 nucleotides in length. Their secondary structure includes four short double-helical elements and three loops (D, anti-codon, and T loops). Further hydrogen bonds mediate the characteristic L-shaped molecular structure. tRNAs have two regions of fundamental functional importance: the anti-codon, which is responsible for specific mRNA codon recognition, and the 3' end, to which the tRNAs corresponding amino acid is attached (by aminoacyl-tRNA synthetases). tRNAs cope with the degeneracy of the genetic code in two manners: having more than one tRNA (with a specific anti-codon) for a particular amino acid; and 'wobble' base-pairing, i.e. permitting non-standard base-pairing at the 3rd anti-codon position. The record is from Rfam by way of RNAcentral. Lineage: Eukaryota; Metazoa; Chordata; Mammalia; Rodentia; Muridae.